GAAGAUAAUUCAAAUGUUUAUUUAUUUAUUUAUUCUUCCUGUGUAAUUAUACUUUUUUGCAUAAAAAUUGAGAAAAAAAAAUUGAGAAAAAAAAAUAUUAAAAAAAAAAAAAAAGAAGAUACCAGGACAUUAAAAACAUUGACGUUUCUGAAUAUUCCGCAUCUGUAUUCUCCUGGAUUAAAUGAAAGUACACCGCUAUUAUCUACUUUCAUUUGGAUAAAAUGGAAGGCAAAGUUGCCUUUUGUGAUGCAUAAAAGAGUUAGAUGCGACGCGAAAUCCGGCGCUUGAUAUUAAAGUAUUAAUGCCGCGUAACACCGUUUCCAUCCCCGUCCAAGGGAUAUUUUAAUAUAAACGGGGGAUUUAGAUAUUUCACUUUGACAAAUUUUCGACCUCCAACAACUGCUCAAAGGAAAUUGAAGCUGGCCAACGACUGCAAUAGGGCCGUGUACACGCGAUGCGGCUGGUUAUUUUAUGUUUACAGAUGACUCGACAUCCCAUAAUAAAUAUCGUUGCCCGGUCCACAAAUCUUCGGUGCAUCGCAUUUGUCCCCGUUUCUUUUUUCUUAUUCAUGAAACCGCGCCGGACGUCCUCUCCUUUUACGUAUCUUGGCGCCGUUGGCCACCGUCCCGCCUUAACAUUAUGAAAAUCUCAAUAACAUCGAGAGAAAUAUAGCUCCACCUCAUCCCUUUAAAAGCGUUCCCUCCGACCGAGGUAUCGAUUAAACGGUUGAUAGCAAUUUCCUGCAGACGGCGGGCCGAUUCGUUAACACGAAAAUAUGAUACGGAUUUUAUUAGCGCGUGAAAUGGAAGCGAUUUUGUUUCUCGCGCGGUGGCACACUUUUUUCACCGGUGCUCGCGCGAUUAACGCCGUGGCUCGCGUAUCGUUUCGCGUUGUUACACGGCACGGAACAGCUGGCCGAAGAGUUCAAUUUUUGUCGUGGCGGAACGGGCGACGAUUUAAUGAAAACACAGGCGGUCGUAUUUCCAUGGGG
Molecule: long non-coding RNA, 991 nt
Organism: Apis florea (little honeybee)
Lineage: Eukaryota; Metazoa; Arthropoda; Insecta; Hymenoptera; Apidae
Source: RefSeq, a predicted model, not a curated record